UCGCACGAGAACGUUCUGGCUUUGCCAGAACGAGUACAGUGGCGGACGGGUGCGUAUCGCGUAGAUAACCUGCCCUUAGGCGCGGGACAAUCACGGGAAACCGUGGCUAAUACCGCACGUCGUCUGGGCCCCGCAUGGGGACCAGAUGAAAGCUUGGGGUUACCCAGGCGCCUUGGGACGGGUCUGCGUUGGAUUAGCUUGUUGGUGAGGCAACGGCUCACCAAGGCAACGAUCCAUAGCUGGUCUGAGAGGACGAUCAGCCACACUGGGACUGAGACACGGCCCAGACUCCUACGGGAGGCAGCAGUGGGGAAUCUUGCACAAUGGGGUCACCCCUGAUGCAGCCAUGCCGCGUGGAGGAAGACACCCCUAUGGGGCGUAAACUCCUUUUCUGAAUGAAGAAACCCCUGUAGGUUCAGGGCGCGACGGUAGUUCAGGAAUAAGCACCGGCUAACUCCGUGCCAGCAGCCGCGGUAAUACGGAGGGUGCAAGCGUUGUCCGGAAUCACUGGGUGUAAAGGGUGUGCAGGCGGGGCAACAAGUCGGAUGUGAAACCCCAUGGCUCAACCAUGGAGGUGCAUUCGAAACUGUUGCUCUUGAGUCCCGGAGAGGCUGUCGGAAUUCGUGGUGUAGCGGUGAAAUGCGUAGAUAUCACGAGGAACACCAGAGGCGAAAGCGGGCAGCUGGACGGGUACUGACGCUCAGGCACGAAAGCGUGGGGAGCAAACAGGAUUAGAUACCC
This 741-nucleotide ribosomal RNA is filed under the name uncultured bacterium. Its description in RNAcentral is "bacterial SSU rRNA". It matches the Rfam family "Bacterial small subunit ribosomal RNA", at positions 62 to 787 of the family's 1533-position model. The record is from RNAcentral.